This 376-nucleotide unclassified non-coding RNA is filed under the name soil metagenome. RNAcentral's name for it is "partial contains 5.8S ribosomal RNA, internal transcribed spacer 2, and large subunit ribosomal RNA". The stretch from base 1 to 120 matches the Rfam family "5.8S ribosomal RNA", at positions 35 to 154 of the family's 154-position model. The record is from RNAcentral.
GAUGAAGAACGUAGCGAAAGGCGAUAAGUAAUGUGAAUUGCAGAAUUCAGUGAAUCAUCGAAUCUUUGAACGCAUCUUGCGCUCCUUGGUAUUCUGAGGAGCAUGCCUGUUUGAGUGUCAUUAAAUUCUCAACUACACUGACUUUGAAUUGGUGUGGCUUGGAUUUGGGGGGAAAAUUGUUGUGGGCUUUUUGUAUAGUCUGCUCCCCUGAAAUUGAUUAGCGGUACCUUUGUGGAACUGUCUACAGGUGUGAUAAUUAUCUACAUCUUAGACAUCUGCUGGAAUGCUGCUUUCUAAACCUUACUUGUAUUGACAAUCUUGACCUCAAAUCAGGUAGGACUACCCGCUGAACUUAAGCAUAUCAAUAAGCGGAGGA